AACGUAGGAGACAAACGUUAUCCGGAGUUACUGGGCGUAAAGGGCGUGCAGGUGGUCAUUUAAGUUCGGCGUGAAAGCUCCUGGCUAAACCGGGAGAGGUCGUCGGAGACUGGAUGGCUAGAGGGUGAUAGAGGCGGGUGGAAUUCCGGGUGUAGUGGUGAAAUGCGUAGAGAUCCGGAGGAACACCAGUGGCGAAGGCGACCCGCUAGGUCACACCUGACACUGAGACGCGACAGCAUGGGGAGCGAACGGG
Molecule: ribosomal RNA, 253 nt
Filed under: uncultured bacterium
Lineage: Bacteria
Description: partial 16S ribosomal RNA
Rfam family: Bacterial small subunit ribosomal RNA
Source: RNAcentral